GUGAGUGUAGCUCAGUCAGUUAGAGCAUCAGAUUGAGGUCCUGAGGGUCGUGGGUUCAAUUCCCAUCACUCACCCCA
RNAcentral lists this transfer RNA (77 nucleotides) under Campylobacter jejuni. RNAcentral's name for it is "tRNA-Leu". It matches the Rfam family "tRNA". Rfam says of the family: Transfer RNA (tRNA) molecules are approximately 80 nucleotides in length. Their secondary structure includes four short double-helical elements and three loops (D, anti-codon, and T loops). Lineage: Bacteria; Pseudomonadati; Campylobacterota; Epsilonproteobacteria; Campylobacterales; Campylobacteraceae. The record is from RNAcentral.